GACGGAGGAUGCAAGUGUUAGCCGGAAUCACUGGGCGUAAAGCGUCUGUAGGUGGUCAAAUAAGUCAACUGUUAAAUCUUGAGGCUCAACCUCAAAAUCGCAGUCGAAACUAUUAGACUAGAGUAUAGUAGGGGUAAAGGGAAUUUCCAGUGGAGCGGUGAAAUGCGUAGAGAUUGGAAGGAACACCGAUGGCGAAGGCACUUUACUGGGCUAUUACUAACACUCAGAGACGAAAGCUAGGGUAGCAAAUGGG
This 253-nucleotide ribosomal RNA is filed under the name uncultured bacterium. RNAcentral describes it as "partial 16S ribosomal RNA". It matches the Rfam family "Bacterial small subunit ribosomal RNA", at positions 524 to 776 of the family's 1533-position model. The record is from RNAcentral.